AGUCCACAUCGACGGGGAGGUUUGGCACCUCGAUGUCGGCUCAUCACAUCCUGGGGCUGUAGUAGGUCCCAAGGGUUGGGCUGUUCGCCCAUUAAAGUGGUACGCGAGCUGGGUUCAGAACGUCGUGAGACAGUUCGGUCCCUAUCCGUCGCAGGCGUAGGAAAUUUGAGAAGACCUGUCCUUAGUACGAGAGGACCGGGAUGGACGUACCUCUGGUGUACCAGUUGUCCUGCCAAGGGCAUGGCUGGGUAGCUAUGUACGGAAUGGAUAAGCGCUGAAAGCAUCUAAGCGCGAAGCCAACUUCAAGAUAAGAUUUCCCACCGCAAGGGUAAGACCCCAGAAAGACUAUCUGGUUGAUAGGUCGAAGGUGUAAGUGCAGCAAUGUAUUUAGCUUAUCGAUACUAAUAGGUCGAGGACUUGACCAA
Molecule: ribosomal RNA, 425 nt
Filed under: Clostridioides difficile
Lineage: Bacteria; Bacillati; Bacillota; Clostridia; Peptostreptococcales; Peptostreptococcaceae
Description: partial 23S ribosomal RNA
Rfam family: Bacterial large subunit ribosomal RNA
Source: RNAcentral